CCGUCAAUGAGGAUGACAACUCACCAGCGGCAGACACGAAGCUGACAGUGAGCCUCGGUGUGAGCCUUCUCCCUCCAGCCAGACUCUAUAUGGUGCCUGUGUGGUGUCUCGUAUUUCAGCUCUAUGCUGCAGACCAGCUACUUCUGCCCUCGAACUGUAUGCCUUUGAGCAGAGACCAGACCUCAUGAGCCGCUUCUCUUCCAUCUUGGAAUGAUGAUGUCUUCUACAAGUUGUGUGCAGCUGAGCAUUUUGGAGCCCCGAGGAACCCUGGAGUCUAAGCCCACUUGAGUCACACAAUUUAGAGACAAGAGACAAUGAUAUUUUAAGAAGGUUUGCAAUCCUCCCAAGACCCCACAAGGAACUUCAGGCUGGGACCAACUGUCUCCUGGGGACAGAGCUGCACCAUUCUCUCGAGGCCCUGGAGAGACCUGUAGGUACUCACCCAUCUCCCUUGUGGUUGCCAGUGCUUAGUGGUAUCCCACGGGGACAUCAAGGCAUAAGACACACAGCCUGUUUCCCAUGUGUCUUCUGAAAAGCCCAAGGGAACCACUCCCACUGUAUGUGCAAGUACAAGUCAGAGGAUCUGCAGCUGAGGACCAGCACCCCAGCCCAGAGAGAAAGACUCAAGCAUCACUGUGGCAUAGCACUGCACAAACCUUUCCCAAUGGGGGGAAGUCACCGUGGCAGAGGUGGGGGACAGACCACAGAGUUUCCAUCUCAUCUCCCAGAGAAGAGGAUCAACCAUGGGACCCAUCCGACCAAGCUUGAAUACAGAUGCAUUAUAGCCUUAGGCUUUUUCUCCAGGCAGCUCUGGACAGCCACUCAAGUGUUUGAGAGUCCAAAAGGAAAUCCACACAUUUUUAUCUACUAUUGGAAAGGCAUUUGACUUAGAUUUACCAUAGCGUCUAAAAUAAUCACACAACAAAUGAGAGUUUCUGUUUGCACCUGGGAAGGAAUUCAUCCCAGAGGUGUGUCCCACCAAUGACCCUGGUGAUUCGUGGACUAGGAAACUGAGACUCUGCGAAGCAACGUGAUCAGACACAAACCAUGCAGAGAAUCACUACCACUCCAGACCUGGAAUGGGACUCUCACCGCUUCCUGUAGGGCAUUCUUCCCACUUCUUCUCAGAUACUCAAACCCCACACCCAGCUCUGAUCCAUAUCUGCGUAGAUUCUUCCUCUAUAUCCAUGAGUUCUUGAGUCAUUUGAAGCAGUCUGAGUGUUGGCUGAGUACACCACAUUGGUGGAGUCAACUCUGCUCUCUUACUGGGAUGGACUGAGUGUAUUAAGCAGCAAUUACCAACGCAAUGUCAUGUAACGCCUAACCAGUUGCCAGUGAUAACAACUCUCAACUGCAAGGAUGGGAUCUUAUGCUCACGGAUCCACAGCUUUGGGAAUGUGAAGUGGGUGAUCUUGACUCCAGGCUGAGCUUAGAUUCCCUGUGGCUCAAUGUGUAUUUGAUCUAGGCCAAGCUCAAGAGCAACAGUUUCCUGAGUGAAGCUUUUGAGUAGUAGUGUGGUGCCUUUGGAAGCCUCAGCUGAAACAGCCAGUCUUCACUUCCACCUCUGUUCCAUUGGCCAAAGAGAGACCCCAGAGCAAAUGGGCCUGGGAAACGCCCUUGAGAAGGAAGAGCUGCCCUUGGCUCA
Molecule: non-coding RNA, 1645 nt
Organism: Peromyscus maniculatus bairdii (prairie deer mouse)
Lineage: Eukaryota; Metazoa; Chordata; Mammalia; Rodentia; Cricetidae
Source: RefSeq, a predicted model, not a curated record